Molecule: ribosomal RNA, 393 nt
Filed under: uncultured bacterium
Lineage: Bacteria
Description: partial 16S ribosomal RNA
Rfam family: Bacterial small subunit ribosomal RNA
Source: RNAcentral
AUACGUAGGUGGCGAGCGUUAUCCGGAAUUACUGGGUGUAAAGGGUGUGUAGGCGGGAAGGCAAGUCGGAUGUGAAAAUUAUGGGCUCAACCCAUAAAGUGCGACCGAAACUGGUUUUCUUGAGGAUCGGAGAGGUAAUGAGAAUUCCCGGUGUAGCGGUGAAAUGCGCAGAGAUCGGGAGGAAUACCGGUGGCGAAGGCGAAUUACUGGACGAUAACUGACGCUGAGACACGAAAGCGUGGGGAGCAAACAGGAUUAGAUACCCUGGUAGUCCACGCCCUAAACGAUGAAUGCUAGGUGUAGGGGAGUCAUCUUCUGUGCCGCAGCUAACGCAAUAAGCAUUCCACCUGGGGAGUACGGCCGCAAGGUUGAAACUCAAAUGAAUUGACGGGG